GCGUAACGGCAUGCUUACCAUGCAAGUCGAACGAUGAAGGGAGCUUGCUCCUGGAUUAGUGGCGAACGGGUGAGUAACACGUGAGUAACCUGCCCUUGACUCUGGGAUAAGCCUGGGAAACUGGGUCUAAUACCGGAUAUGACCUUCCAUCGCAUGGUGGUUGGUGGAAAGCUUUUGUGGUUUUGGAUGGACUCGCGGCCUAUCAGCUUGUUGGUGGGGUAAUGGCCUACCAAGGCGACGACGGGUAGCCGGCCUGAGAGGGUGACCGGCCACACUGGGACUGAGACACGGCCCAGACUCCUACGGGAGGCAGCAGUGGGGAAUAUUGCACAAUGGGCGCAAGCCUGAUGCAGCGACGCCGCGUGAGGGAUGACGGCCUUCGGGUUGUAAACCUCUUUCAGUAGGGAAGAAGCGAGAGUGACGGUACCUGCAGAAGAAGCGCCGGCUAACUACGUGCCAGCAGCCGCGGUAAUACGUAGGGCGCAAGCGUUAUCCGGAAUUAUUGGGCGUAAAGAGCUCGUAGGCGGUUUGUCGCGUCUGCCGUGAAAGUCCGGGGCUCAACUCCGGAUCUGCGGUGGGUACGGGCAGACUAGAGUGAUGUAGGGGAGACUGGAAUUCCUGGUGUAGCGGUGAAAUGCGCAGAUAUCAGGAGGAACACCGAUGGCGAAGGCAGGUCUCUGGGCAUUAACUGACGCUGAGGAGCGAAAGCAUGGGGAGCGAACAGGAUUAGAUACCCUGGUAGUCCAUGCCGUAAACGUUGGGCACUAGGUGUGGGGGACAUUCCACGUUUUCCGCGCCGUAGCUAACGCAUUAAGUGCCCCGCCUGGGGAGUACGGCCGCAAGGCUAAAACUCAAAGGAAUUGACGGGGGCCCGCACAAGCGGCGGAGCAUGCGGAUUAAUUCGAUGCAACGCGAAGAACCUUACCAAGGCUUGACAUGAACCGGACCGGGCUGGAAACAGUCUUUCCCCUUGUGGGCUGGUUUACAGGUGGUGCAUGGUU
Molecule: ribosomal RNA, 1001 nt
Filed under: Arthrobacter sp.
Lineage: Bacteria; Bacillati; Actinomycetota; Actinomycetes; Micrococcales; Micrococcaceae
Description: bacterial SSU rRNA
Rfam family: Bacterial small subunit ribosomal RNA
Source: RNAcentral